CGGGGGGAGCAAGCGUUGUUCGGAUUUACUGGGCGUAAAGGGCGCGUAGGCGGCCUCCGCAAGUCAGUUGUGAAAUCUCCGAGCUUAACUCGGAAAGGUCAACUGAUACUGCGGGGCUAGAGUGCGAAGGGGCAACUGGAAUUCUUGGUGUAGCGGUGAAAUGCGUAGAUAUCAAGAGGAACACCUGCGGCGAAGGCGGGUUGCUGGGCCGACACUGACGCUGAGGCGCGAAAGCUAGGGGAGCGAACGGGAUUAGAUACCCCGGUAGUCCUAGCCUUAAACGAUGAAUGCUUGGUGUCUGGGGUUAUAUAGUCCCCGGGUGCCGUCGCUAACGCUUUAAGCAUUCCGCCUGGGGAGUACGGUCGCAAGACUG
RNAcentral lists this ribosomal RNA (373 nucleotides) under uncultured organism. RNAcentral's name for it is "bacterial SSU rRNA". It matches the Rfam family "Bacterial small subunit ribosomal RNA", at positions 526 to 896 of the family's 1533-position model. The record is from RNAcentral.